This 1677-nucleotide long non-coding RNA is filed under the name Mytilus galloprovincialis (Mediterranean mussel). The record is from RNAcentral. Lineage: Eukaryota; Metazoa; Mollusca; Bivalvia; Mytilida; Mytilidae.
AAAGACUAGAAAACCAAAUCUUUCUAACAUUUACAAAUAAUAGAAAUAAAUUGUAGAUGACAUUUUAUAUGAUUAUGUGGUAUGGUUACAGAUGAGUUACGAUGAAAAACUGUCGUAGUUGUAUAUUUAGGCUUAAUUUUUAAUUUCAAAGAGGCAUAACUCUUAGAAAAAAUAAAUUGAACCAUAAUUGCCAGUCGAUAUGCACAUACACAUAGUAUUUCCUUAUCAUCUACAAAGUUUCGCGAAAUUCUGUUGUGUGGUUUCAGAGGAGAUGCGAUGAUUGACGUACGGGGUAAAACUUUGUUCCUUGUAUAAUAUAUAGAUGGUGUCAAAUAUGACAUCACUUGGCGUUGAGGUUUUGACUAAUUCGGAUGUGUCUAUUUUUUGUGUUGGAUUUUGUCGGGUUAUGUAAUGUAUUUCGGUUGUUUCCUAUAAUUAGUUUAUACUUCAGUUUUAUCAUGUAUAUUUUUAUUUAUGAGUUUUGAACAGCGGUAUACUACUGUUGCCUUUAUUUUAUAUAGUCAAUUUAUAAAAUUUACUGUUUGCAAAAGUAUAAAUUAUUCUAAAUAAUAGGGAUGUUCUGGUACCUAACAGAAAAGCCUGGCCGUUUUUGGCACAAUUUUUUUGAACUUUUGGUCCUCAAUGCUGUUCAACUUUGUACUUAUUUCGGCUUUCAAACUUUUGUAUCUGGGUGUCACCAGUAAGUCUUGUGUGGACAACAUGCACUUCUGGCGUAUUAAAUUUUAAACCUGUUGCCUUUUGUUAGCUAUUAUUCGUGUGUUUCUUUAACAAUUGCGUUCUUCUAUUUAUUUGUAUUGUAGUCCUGUAAUGUUGUGUUGUCAUUUUAAUGUUAUAUUUCACAUGGCCAUAAAAGAGGGAGGUUUGGCAUGCCACAAAACCAGGUUCAACACACCAUUUUUUUCUUUUAAAAAAUGUCCUGUACCAAGUCAGGAAUAUGGUCAUUGUUAUAUAAUAGUUCCUUUCUGUGUGUGUUACAUUUUAACAUUGUUUCUUUUGUGUCCUUUGUUUCCUCUUAUAUUUAGUGCGAAUUCACAUUAUUAUAAGACGUGUCACGGUACUUUUCUAUCCCAAAUUCAUGUAUUUAGUUUUGAUGUUAUAUUUGUUAUUCGCAUCAGAUUUUGUCUAAUCUUCGUUCGUUUCUGUGUGUGUUACUUUUCAAUGUUGUGUCGUCAUUUUCUUGUAUUUAAUGCGUUUCCCUCGGUUUUGGAUUAUAACCUGGAUUUGUUUUUGUCAAUUGAUUUAUGAGUUUUGAACUUGGGUAUACUACUGUUGCCUUUAUUCAGAACACACGAAAUAAAAAUAACACUAUUUAGCUGGUGAUCCCGAAACUAUUUUUGAUUCAUCUUCGUCAGGAAUGCUCAAACCCAAAAAAUUGAAACCUAGGAUGAAAAAGUACUAAAAGAAAUGAUACUACGUCGAAAAGUAUGAAUAUGCCGUCAAACCCAAAGGAAUAAGAAGUGGCACUCAAACUAGGGAAAUGACGUAAUACACCUUUAAAACACACUGAAGAUUCACACCGUUCUAUUUCACUGAAAUAAGAUAUAAAUGGCUAAGAAACAAACAGAAGGGAUGGAAUGCGCCGCUGAAACUCUGCAGGUAAUGAAUAUUGAAUACAAACAUACUGUUAGUACUUAUGGACAAGCUUCGGAAUACAUA